RNAcentral lists this transfer RNA (71 nucleotides) under Ricinus communis (castor bean). It matches the Rfam family "tRNA". From Rfam's summary of the family: Transfer RNA (tRNA) molecules are approximately 80 nucleotides in length. Their secondary structure includes four short double-helical elements and three loops (D, anti-codon, and T loops). The record is from Rfam by way of RNAcentral. Lineage: Eukaryota; Viridiplantae; Streptophyta; Magnoliopsida; Malpighiales; Euphorbiaceae.
GGGUCCAUAGCUCAGUGGUAGAGCAUUUGACUGCAGACAAGAGGUCACCGGUUCGAACGUGGUUGGGCCCU